AACGAACGCUGGCGGCAUGCCUAACACAUGCAAGUCGAACGAGACCUUCGGGUCUAGGGGCGCACGGGUGCGUAACGCGUGGGAACCUGCCCUUAGGUUCGGAAUAACUCUCCGAAAGGGGUGCUAACACCGGAUAAUGUCUUCGGACCAAAGAUUUAUCGCCUUUGGAUGGGCCCGCGUUGGAUUAGCUAGUUGGUAGGGUAAAAGCCUACCAAGGCGACGAUCCCUAGCUGGUCUGAGAGGAUGAUCAGCCACACUGAGACUGAGACACGGCCCAGACUCCUACGGGAGGCAGCAGUGGGGAAUAUUGGAAAAUGGGCGAAAGCCUGAUCCAGCAAUGCCGCGUGAGUGAUGAAGGUAUUAGGGUUGUAAAGCUCUUUUACCCGGGAUGAUAAUGACAGUACCGGGAGAAUAAGCUCCGGCUAACUACGUG
RNAcentral lists this ribosomal RNA (433 nucleotides) under uncultured bacterium. Its description in RNAcentral is "partial 16S ribosomal RNA". It matches the Rfam family "Bacterial small subunit ribosomal RNA", at positions 29 to 507 of the family's 1533-position model. The record is from RNAcentral.